Molecule: ribosomal RNA, 200 nt
Filed under: uncultured bacterium
Lineage: Bacteria
Description: partial 16S ribosomal RNA
Rfam family: Bacterial small subunit ribosomal RNA
Source: RNAcentral
AGUGAACGCUGGCGGUAGGCCUAACACAUGCAAGUCGAACGGCAGCACGGGAGAGCUUGCUCUCUGGGUGGCGAGUGGCGGACGGGUGAGGAAUACAUCGGAAUCUACUUUUUCGUGGGGGAUAACGUAGGGAAACUUACGCUAAUACCGCAUACGACCUACGGGUGAAAGCCGGGGACCUUCGGGCCUGGCGCGGAUAA